AUUGAACGCUGGCGGCGUGCUUUACACGUGCAAGUCGAGCGGCAGCAUGACCUUGGUCGAUGGCGAGCGGCGAACGGGUGAGUAAUACAUCGGAACGUACCUUUUAGUUGGGGGAGUAACGCAGCGAAAGCUGUGCUAAUACCGCAUACGCCCUGAGGGGGAAAGGCGGGGGAUCUUCGGACCUACCGCGAUUGGAUGCCACCCAGGUGGGAUUAGCUAGUUGGUGAGGUAACGGCUCACCAAGGCGACGAUCUCUAGCUGGUCUGAGAGGACGACCAGCCACACUGGAACUGAGACACGGUCCAGACUCCGUACGGGGAGGCAGCAGGUGGGGUAAUUUUGGACAAUGGACGCAAGUCUGAUCCAGCCAUUCCGCGUGCAGGAU
Molecule: ribosomal RNA, 385 nt
Filed under: uncultured bacterium
Lineage: Bacteria
Description: bacterial SSU rRNA
Rfam family: Bacterial small subunit ribosomal RNA
Source: RNAcentral